CCAAUAGCGUAUAUUAAAGUUGUUGCAGUUAAAAAGCUCGUAGUUGAAUUUCGGGGUUAGUAGGCUGGUCAUGCCUCCGGUAUGUACUGGUCUCACUGAUUCCUCCUCCCUGAUGAACCGUAAUGCCAUUAAUUUGGUGUUGCGGGGAAUUUGGACUGUUACUUUGAAAAAAUUAGAUUGUUUAAAGCAAGCUAACGCUUGAAUACAUUAGCAUGGAAUACUGAAAUAGGACUUUCGAUCCUAUUUUGUUGGUUUCUAGGAUUGACGUAAUGAUUAAUAGGGAUAGUUGGGGGCAUUAGUAUUCAAUUGUCAGAGGUGAAAUUCUUGGAUUUAUUGAAGACUAACUACUGCGAAAGCAUUUGCCAAGGAUGUUUUCAUUAAUCAAGAACGAAAGUUAGGGGAUCGAAGACGAUCAGAUACCGUCGUAGUCUUAACCAUAAACUAUGCCGACUAGGGAUCGGAUGAUGUUAAUUUUUUAAUGACUCAUUCGGCGCCUUACG
RNAcentral lists this ribosomal RNA (500 nucleotides) under uncultured Glomeromycotina. RNAcentral describes it as "partial small subunit ribosomal RNA". It matches the Rfam family "Eukaryotic small subunit ribosomal RNA", at positions 591 to 1092 of the family's 1831-position model. Lineage: Eukaryota; Fungi; Glomeromycota. The record is from RNAcentral.